Molecule: ribosomal RNA, 763 nt
Filed under: uncultured Peptostreptococcus sp.
Lineage: Bacteria; Bacillati; Bacillota; Clostridia; Peptostreptococcales; Peptostreptococcaceae
Description: bacterial SSU rRNA
Rfam family: Bacterial small subunit ribosomal RNA
Source: RNAcentral
GAUGAACGCUGGCGGCGUGCCUAACACAUGCAAGUCGAGCGAGGGUUUGCUCAGUAUUGAGUAUUCCAACAACUAGAAUGUUCAAUUCUGAGCAAAACCAAGCGGCGGACGGGUGAGUAACGCGUGGGUAACCUGCCCUAUACACAUGGAUAACAUACUGAAAAGUUUACUAAUACAUGAUAAUAUAUAUUUGCGGCAUCGCAGAUAUAUCAAAGUGUUAGCGGUAUAGGAUGGACCCGCGUCUGAUUAGCUAGUUGGUGAGAUAACUGCCCACCAAGGCGACGAUCAGUAGCCGACCUGAGAGGGUGAUCGGCCACAUUGGAACUGAGACACGGUCCAAACUCCUACGGGAGGCAGCAGUGGGGAAUAUUGCACAAUGGGCGAAAGCCUGAUGCAGCAACGCCGCGUGAACGAUGAAGGUCUUCGGAUCGUAAAGUUCUGUUGCAGGGGAAGAUAAUGACGGUACCCUGUGAGGAAGCCCCGGCUAACUACGUGCCAGCAGCCGCGGUAAUACGUAGGGGGCUAGCGUUAUCCGGAUUUACUGGGCGUAAAGGGUGCGUAGGUGGUCCUUCAAGUCGGUGGUUAAAGGCUACGGCUCAACCGUAGUAAGCCGCCGAAACUGGAGGACUUGAGUGCAGGAGAGGAAAGUGGAAUUCCCAGUGUAGCGGUGAAAUGCGUAGAUAUUGGGAGGAACACCAGUAGCGAAGGCGGCUUUCUGGACUGCAACUGACACUGAGGCACGAAAGCGUGGGUAGCAAACAGG